RNAcentral lists this long non-coding RNA (283 nucleotides) under Nicotiana benthamiana. RNAcentral describes it as "long non-coding RNA (NBEN_LNC001615)". The record is from RNAcentral. Lineage: Eukaryota; Viridiplantae; Streptophyta; Magnoliopsida; Solanales; Solanaceae.
CAUUUAAUAAAUGAUGCUUGUAAAGACAGAUUUUCAGCAUGUCAUCAACAAGUAUAGUCAACAAGAAAUCUCACAUAUUGAUUCUUGCAAUUAAAGCAUAUCAACAUUUUUCAAAUGUGAGAACAACUUUUAUGUUAAUAACAACAGUUGCCACAUAUCAACAAUAACAACAAAUCUGUUAACAACAAUCAUUUGCACAGUUCGGUUCUAUUAAAAUGACUAGCUAACCGAAAUUCCCUUUGAUGCCUUUAGGUGUCGUGCUUGGUGCAUCUACUACAAUUUU